RNAcentral lists this transfer RNA (71 nucleotides) under Dinophyceae sp. TGD. RNAcentral's name for it is "tRNA-Cys". It matches the Rfam family "tRNA". From Rfam's summary of the family: Transfer RNA (tRNA) molecules are approximately 80 nucleotides in length. Their secondary structure includes four short double-helical elements and three loops (D, anti-codon, and T loops). Further hydrogen bonds mediate the characteristic L-shaped molecular structure. tRNAs have two regions of fundamental functional importance: the anti-codon, which is responsible for specific mRNA codon recognition, and the 3' end, to which the tRNAs corresponding amino acid is attached (by aminoacyl-tRNA synthetases). tRNAs cope with the degeneracy of the genetic code in two manners: having more than one tRNA (with a specific anti-codon) for a particular amino acid; and 'wobble' base-pairing, i.e. permitting non-standard base-pairing at the 3rd anti-codon position. Lineage: Eukaryota; Dinophyceae. The record is from RNAcentral.
GGCGGUAUAGCCAAGAGGUACGGCAAGAGAUUGCAAAUCUUUUAUCCUCAGUUCAAAUCUGAGUACCGCUU